AAGUGACAUAGCAGGUAGACUCAGA
Molecule: non-coding RNA, 25 nt
Filed under: Cricetulus griseus (Chinese hamster)
Lineage: Eukaryota; Metazoa; Chordata; Mammalia; Rodentia; Cricetidae
Source: RNAcentral